AUCCAUUUGCAACUAAACCUGCAUAAAGAUGAUCGACAAAAUUAGUGCGGGUAUCUCCCCCUCUAAAACUCAGAAAUACAUCAUACUUGUGUGGGUGAUUGGAAGAAGAGGACGAGGUUUUGGUACUGGUUGAAGCCAUUCAAGACAGGUGGUGUGCUAAAAUUGCAAAGAACUGAGAUUUCUCUGCUAUGAUGCCCAGGCUUAAGAUAAAUGUAACAUUUUAAGCAGCUUCUUAGAAUCUUAACCUGGUGGGUGGGAGCAGGUUUCCAGGAAGGAGUAUCCCCAAAAGUCAAACAAAUUCUCUGUCCUUUAGUAUUUGCGGAACUAUAAAGCUUGCAGAUGAGUUGGGUACAUCUUUUUUAAUUUUUUUUAAUAUUUAUAAUAAUUAAAAAUUUUAAAUACCUCACUUUUAUUAAUUUUUUUUACAUGUAAGUAUUUAAAAUUCUUGAAUUUUACAUCAGAGUUAUUAUUAUUUUUAAAUAAAAACAAAAAUAAAAAUAAAAUUAAAAAUAUGAAAUAUUUCCAAACUGUUGUAUACAAUACAAAAGUGAUCAAAAUAUUCUUCAUAUACUUGAUUUUAUUUAGAAUACUCUAAAAAUACAUAUGAAAUUUAUUCCAAAAUAUAUAUAACAAAUUCUUAAUAUACUAGUUUAAAAAAUUAUCUUAGUCGUGAUUUUUAAGUUUAAAAAUAAUUUUAUUCUGAAUACUAUUAUAUCUCAACCACAGAUUCAAAACAAGAAAGAAAAAAACACCUAAACUCUACCGUGGACCCUACAGACAUUUUUUGUUUGGUGCUAACAGAGGCCAUUUUCAUUGGGUUUAGGCCUAAAUUCAUAAGGGAUUCAUUCAUUCCCGGUGUCUUCUUGGCUUCUUAUCCGAAGAGAAUCUUUGCACUGGUGUUUUCUUUUGUCUUGGUUUUGGCUAUUUUCGUUUUUUAUUUGUUUGUUUUUUUUCCGAACUCCUUUCUCUUUUAUGUCUAUCACUCAAUGGGGGUGGGGGGGGGGGGUUGUGUUUUUUGGUUCAUAUAUCAUGCAUAUUUAAGCCUAAGACUCAAACAAAGUAUGAAAAUUAAGAUGAAAGAUAUUGUCUUUUAUUAAUCCCUAAAAUACCCUUAACCCUUACAUAGGUACAAGUGAGUGUGAAUUUCAAUUUUUUUUGUGUUUUUUUUUCCUUUUCUAUUCCUUAUUAAGUAUUACUCAUUUUUAACCUUUUUUUUUUCUUUUUCUUCCAAUCUAUAUUUCUAUUUUAUGUCAAAUAAAAAAUAAUAAUGUUUUUUUUUUCAUUUUUAAAGAUAUUAAAUCUUUUUGCUCUUAUUAUAAGCAAUGAUAAAAAUUUUAAGAUUUUUCAUUCAAAUAUUUUUUAUCUUUUUGUAGUUAUCUUUUAUUUUUAUUUUAAUUUUUUAUUUUAAAUUUAUAUUACCCUUUCAUUUAUAUUUUUCUCUUAUUUUUAAUUAUUUUUUAUAUUUUCUACAUUAACCAUAUUUUAAAAAAUUUAAAAAUUGACUAUCACUUCACUUUAUUUUAUAUAUAUAUAUAUAUCCUUUUAGCCUUUUAAUUUUUAAUGUUUUUAUUUUAAAAUUUUUAAAAAGAUAAAUUUAUUGAAAAAAAUAACUAAGAUGUGAAGUUCUAAUAUUAUAUUAAUAAUUUUUCUUAUCUAGAUAGACUAAUGCAAAGUAUUUUGACUCACAACAAGAAAAUUGUCAAUACAAUUUUUUAGUUCAACUUUAGAAAUUAAAUUUCAAAUAAAAUAUAUUAUAUAAAAUUUUAUCUAAAAAUUAUUGAAAGUGGUAUUUAAUAAUUUUUAUUGACUUCCAAACUUAUCUAAUUUUUUUUACUUGAAAGGUAAUAGAACAUGUUUACAAAAAAAAAAAAAAAUUAAUUUUUCACUUUUUAAAUAAAUGAGUAUAAAUAUAUUAAAAGAAUUAAAGAUAAUCCUAGUAAAAAAUUUGAUAAAUAUGAUUAUAAUUUUAAAUAUAGAUUCAUUUGAAUAAAAUUUCACAAAAAAAAAAAUAGUGAAAAAAAAGAACAUUGCUAAAACUACAAAAACAAAAUAUGCAAUUACAAAAUUUUGAUGAUGAAAUUUAAAAAUAAAAUUCGAAACAAUUCUUGAGUGAGAGAAUUUGAGUGGGGAAAAAAUCUUUGAGGGGAAAAAAAUUGGAAAAUUUUUCAAAAUCACUUGAAAUCUUUAACAAAAAGUAGUUUUGUACACCCUUGUACAAUUAGUAAAUUUGUCUUGUAUAGUUAGUGUAAUACCCUUAUACAAUAACUCAAAUUUCAUACAUCAUCUCAUGAAUGUUUGACAAUAGGUCGGUUAACCAUGUUUGCAUUGGUUUGGUUUUAAAAAAGAAGAAAAAUUAUUGUAUAAUUUUGUUUUACAAUCAUCAUAAGUGAGGUACCUAUUCAAAUGACCAUAUACAAGUUAGAUAAAGUGUAUAAGAUGAAUGUAUGCUUAACCAAUGUGUGUAAGAAAUGUCAUUUAUCCUCAAUUAGGGGAAAUAAACAAGCAAGUUUUUCAGAAUCACUUAAAAUCUUUCACAAAUAAUAAUCUUGUACACCCUUGUACAGUUUGUAUAUUUGUCAUGUACAUUUAGUGUAAAUGCCUUGUACAGUGACUCAAAUUCCAUAUACCCCUUACUCAAUGUGUAACCAUAGAUAGGUUAACUAUGUUUUCAUUGGUUUGUUUCAAAAAUAGUGAAAGAUAGAAAAACAAAAUUUUCUCUCAAACAUCAUUAGUGGGAUAAGUAUUCGAAUUAUCAUGUGCGAGUUAAAUAAAGUGCAUAAAAUGAGUGUGUAAUAGAGGAAUGUGUACCUUAAGAGUGUGCAAUCCUUAGAUGAUAAGACAAAAAAAAAAGUUGUCUAAAAUUGAUUAAAAUAUUUCACAAAUGAUAGUAUUGUAUACCCCUUAUAUAGUUAGAACAUUUGUCUUGUAGAAUUAGUGUAAUAACCUUAUAUAAUGGUAUAAAUUUCAUAUAUAUGUAUAAAUUAUAUCCACAUGAGUGUGUAAAUUAUGUUCCCAAUAGUUUGACAUUUAAAAUAAUUAAAACAAAUAAAAUAUUAUUUUAUUUUAUUUUCAAUGCAAAAUGUAAUUAAAAAUAAGACAGAAAUUACUUAAAAACUAUUAUUUAAGCCAAGAUUAUUUAUUUAUUUCCUUUAAUGUUUGGAAAUAAAGAAAAAAGAAUAAAAAAAUUAUUUAACCAUAAGAAAUAUGAAUAUAAGAUUAGUUAGAAAAUACCAAAUUUAUUUAUUUAUUUCAUUUUAUUUUUGGAAUUAAAGAAAAAAAAUAAAAAAUUUAUUUAACCAUUAAAAAUAUUGAUAUAAGAUAUGUUAAAAAAUAGAAAUAACCACAAAUUUAUUUACUUAUUUCAUUUUAUUUAUUUAAAUUAGAAAGUAAUUUAUUUUAAUAGAUUAAAAUGUGCACAAUUGAUUUAUUACUUUGUUAAUUAUGGAUAUAUUAAAAUUUUCUAUUAGAAAAAAAAUAAAUAAAGAAAAUAAAAUUAAAAAGAGUAAUAAAUAUAUAUAAUUUAGUUAUUUAAUUAUUUUUCAUGUAAAAGAUAGUCUCACAAAAAACACAUAAUUGAUCAAUUUCUUUGUUUAAUUGUAAACAUACUAUGUAUUUUUUUAUUUUUUUAUUAAAAUAACUAAUGGAAAAAAAUAAAAAUGGAUAAUCAAUGAAUGAAAUUUAAUUCUUUUUAUUAUUUUUAUAUAAAAAAUAGUACUAAACAAGGUUUUCAAUUUUGAUUUUUAAAAAUAGUUUUCAUUUUUUAAUUAAAUGUUUUUUCAAAAAGAAAAUAUAAAUCAUAUUACCAUUUUUUUAGAAAGUAUUUUUAAAAUAGUUUUUUAACAUAAUUUUUCUUUAUUUAUAAUUUAAAAUAGAAAAUAAUACUGAUUUUCAAUUAUUUAUAAAAAAAUUUAAAAACAAUGAAAAAUUCAAAUUGUUAAAAUAGAAUUAUUAUGGUUGCAUGAAUAGUGGUGUAAUAAAGACAAAAAAAACGUAUGUGAAAGAUCAUUGGGUAUUUUAGUCCAUCACUAUUUUAUAUCCUUAAAAGGUAAUAUAUAAAAAUUUGAAGGGCAUAUUAGUCUUUUAACAUCUUAUAUCAUUUUCAUCAAUUAUGGAAGUUAUAUAAACCAAAUAUUAAUUUUUGAGCCCAACCGGACCAAAAUACAAUUCUCCUUUUUUUUUUUUUUUUUUUUUCUUCUUUUAAGUCUGCCACCCAAAGGAUUCACGUAAAUUGUGGAAGAACCUUUUUUUAGUCUGCCAUCCAAUGGAUUGAAGAAAAGUGUCUUUUCUCCUUGUUUUGUAUUAAUCGAAUGGUGUGUGACCAUGUCACAACGUCAAAGUAUAUAGUGUUUUUUCUUUGUUUUAAUUUGUCACCCAAUGGAUUCUCAUAAAUUGUGGAAAAAAAAAGUGGAUCACGCAAGCAUUUUACCGAAAGGUUUGUGACAAUCCAUAUAUAGAGAGAGAGAGAGAGGGAGGGAGAAAGCCUUGAAUGCAUAGGAAGUACUUUUUCUAAAAGCGAUUUUAUUUUUUAAAAGUGUGUAGACCCUAAAUUUGUCUUAUACCUUUAUUUUAUUUGAUUUAUUUGAUUUAUUAUUAUUUAAUUAUUUUCAGGCUCAUUUGAUUAAUGUUUUUGGACUUUUUGGUUUUUUUUUUUAUCUCACUCCCCUCCACAGACGCCCGACCUUCCCUUUUCUCUUUUUCCUUUCUUCCAUAUUCUCUUCUCCAGUCACAGCUCCUUUAUUUUUUUCCCACUCUUUUUCUUUCCUUCCCAUUUCUUUCAUUCUUUUCUCUUUCUUGUCUUCUUAUUUUGUUUUUUUUUUCUUUUCCCUUCUCUCCUUGUCCACGGCACCUCCAACGUCAACAACACUGCCCCACGCUUCGUCACCAACGGCGACACAAUCGUUGACCUCUCUCUGGCCACUUCUUCUCCAUCUUUCUCUUAUAUUUUAUUUAUUUAUUUAUUUAUUAUUAUUAGUAUUAUUAUUAUUUCUUCUCUUCUUUUUUUCUUUUAUUACCCUUUGUGCAUCGUCAUAGGCACGCCUCUAUCUCCAUUGUCGCUCUCCAUAGCCAUCGAUCUCACAACGGUAAGUUUUUUAUUUUAUUUUAUUUUAUAUCAUUUAUUUUUAUUUUUUAUGUUAUGUUAUUUAAUUUCUAUAAUAUUCAUUUUUGGAUUUGGACUUGUGUUUGAUGUGUUUGUUCUAUUCGGGUUGUUGCUUUGUAUUAGGCUUUAUAUAUUAUUGAUUUGGGCUUGGGUUGUGUUUUAGCAAUAGUGGAAAGAGCAAAAUGGGCAUGUUGCAUGUAUUUGUUUUGUUAUUAUCUUGUGUAAAUAUUUUAUUUUAUUUAAUUAGUCAUCCAAGUGAAUAUAUAUUAUUGAUUCUUGCCUUAUUUGUGGUAGAUAAUGCACGAACAAUGUAGUAUUCAUUAUUCAUUUAUUUAAUGUAUUAUUAUUAUUAUUAUUAUUAUUAUUAUUAUUUUUUUUAUUUUGCAUGUACAAUGAAUCAUUAAUAUUGUUUUUUUGCUUGGAAAAAAUGAUCUAAUAAAUUGAUUUCCUUUAAUAAACUGAAACCUUAAUUUGAUAAAGAUUUUUUUUAAUAAAUUUCCUUUUAGGAAAAAAAAAUAAGAAAGGGAAAACUUUUUGAAACCAAAAUUAUCUUGUUUAACAAACUCAAAUUUGUUUAUCUAUUUUUUUUCGUGUAAAAGUCGAACUCCUCCAAAAAUAAAAUCUUUAUAUAUAUAUAAUAAAACUACAAUAUCAUUUUUAUUGAGAAUCUACUUUUUUUAAUAAAUUGAAACUUGUAAUAAAUUAGCAACCCAUUUGUUUAAAAUGUUAAAUCAUUUUUUUAUUAAAGAAAAAAAAAUGAAAUAACAAACAUGAAACCUUUUUUUAUAAAUUGAAACCAGUUUUUUUUUUUAAAAAAAAAUAGAUUAAGAACCAUUUUCUUAAAACUAAAGAUAUUUUUAGCAAAUAUGAAAUUACCUUUUUAAUAAUGUUUUUUAAAAAAAAUCAUCAAAAUCAUUUUUUUUAAAUAACAAGAAUUUUAUUUUAUUUUUUUAAAUAAUUUUAUAAAAAAAAAAAAAACCCUAAAUCCCUAACACUUCUCACUCCCCUCCACAGACGCCCGACCUUCCCUUUUCUCUUUUUCCUUUCUUCCAUAUUCUCUUCUCCAGUCACAGCUCCUUUAUUUUUUUCCCACUCUUUUUCUUUCCUUCCAUUUCUUUCAUUCUUUUCUCUUUCUUGUCUUCUUAUUUUGUUUUUUUUUUCUUUUCCCUUCUCUCCUUGUCCACGGCACCUCCAACGUCAACAACACUGCCCCACGCUUCGUCACCAACGGCAACACAAUCGUUGACCUCUCUCUGGCCGCUUCUUCUCCAUCUAUCUCUUAUAUUUUAUUUAUUUAUUAUUAUUAUUAUUAUUAUUAUUUCUUCUCUUCUUUUUUUCUUUUAUUACCCUUUGUGCAUCUUCAUAGGCACGCCUCUAUCUCCAUUGUCGCUCUCCAUAGCCAUCGAUCUCACAACGGUAAGUUUUUUAUUUUAUUUUAUUUUGUAUCAUUUAUUUUUAUUUUUUAUGUUAUGUUAUUUAAUUUCUAUAAUAUUCAUUUUUGGAUUUGGACUUGUGUUUGAUGUGUUUGUUCGACUUUGUUAUUCGGGUUGUUGGUUUGUAUUAGGCUUUAUAUAUCAUUGAUUUGGGCUAUUGACGUUUAUUCAUAUAGGGUUUUCUUACAAUUGGGUUGUGUUUUAGCAAGAGUGGAAAGAGCAAAAUGGGAGAGUUAGGGUGGUUGAAGCAGGGAUGGGCAUGUUGCAUGUAUUUGUUUUGUUAUUAUCUUGUGUAAAUAUUUUAUUUUAUUUAAUUAGUCAUCCAAUUGAAUAUAUAUUAUUGAUUCUUGCCUUAUUUGUCGGAGAUAAUGCACGAACAAUGUAGUAUUCAUUAUUCAUUUAUUUAGUGUCUUAUUAUUAUUAUUAUUAUUAUUAUUUUGCAUGUACAAUGAAUCAUUAAUAUUGUUUUUUUGCUUGGAAAAAAUGAUCUAAUAAAAUGAUUUCCUUUAAUAAACUGAAACCUUAAUUUAAUAAAGAUUUUUUUUUAAUAAAUUUCCUUUUAGGAAAAAAAAUAAGAAAGGGAAAACUUUUUGAAACCAAAAUUAUCUUGUUUAACAAACUCAAAUUUGUUUAUCUAUUUUUUUUUUAUUUUUUUUGUUUUCGUGUGAAAGUCGAACUCCUCCAAAAAUAAAAUCUUUAUAUAUAUAUAAUAAAACUGCAAUCUCAUUUUUAUUGAGAAUCUACUUUUUUUAAUAAAUUGAAACUUGUAAUAAAUUAGCAACCCAUUUGUUUAAGAUGUUAAAUCAUUUUUUUAUUAAAGAAAAAAAAAAUGAAAUAACAAGCAUGAAACCUUUUUUUUAUAAAUUGAAACCAGAUUUAAAAAAAAAAAAGAUUAAGAACCAUUUUCCUUAAACUAAAGAUAUUUUUAGCAAAUAUGAAAUUACCUUUUUAAUAAUGUUUUUUUUUUAAAUCAUAUUUCAAAAUCAUUUUUUUAAUAACAAGAAUUUAAUUUAAUUUUUUAAAAUAAUUUUGUAUAGAUUUUUUUUCUAAAUAAAUUCGUAAAGAACAAAAUUCGUAUUUUUUGGAUAAAAUUGUUGAAAUUUUCCUUUAAAAUAGGCAAAAUUCUUUUUGAAUAAAAAAAAAGUAAUAAUGAAUUUGUGAAUAAAAAUUCCUUUUCAACAAAAGUUAAAAAAAAAAAAAUCUUUUUUACUAAAGUAGAUUAUGAAUGAUCCUCUUUUAGAUAAAAUUUCUUUUUUAAAAUAAUUUGUUAUCAUCUUCUUCUAGUAACAAAAUUAUCAAAAUUCUUUUCCUUUAGAAUAAAACUGUCAAAAUGCAAAUUUUUAUUUUUAUUUUUUAUUUUUAAGCAAAUAAAAGUCCAUUUAAAAGAAAAUGAGAAUCAAAUUAGAAAAUCAAAUUUUGGAGCACUUUUUUGGUGAAUAAAAUUGUAUAUGUAUGUUUAAUAAAAUUGGAUAAACUCUUUUUUUUUUUUUUUAAGUAUUUAUUUAUUUGUAAAAUCCAAAUCUUUAAAGACAAAUAGAAUUAAAGAAUUUUUUUCUUUUCUUUUCUUUUUCUUUUAUUUUUUUAUUUUUUAUUUUAUAUUUGUAAGUUCUAAUAAAAAAUUGAAAAAUUGUCCUCUUCAAUCAAUCUUUUUUUUAAUAAUUUUUUAUUAUUAAUAAAAUAGGAAUGUCUUUUUUUAACAUUUUUGUAAAUAAAGCUAUAAAAGUCUUUCUUUUUUUUUAAUUAAAAAAUAUUUUGCAAAUAAAGUUAUAAUUUUUUUAAAUAAUUUUUAUAAAUCACUUUCUUAAAUGAAAAUAAAUUGAAAUAUUUUUGUAAAUAAAAUUGUAACAAUUUAUUUCCUAACAAGGGUAAAUAAAAAUCAUUUUCUUGUAAAUAAAAAUUGUUUUUAAUAUAUUCUUUUGAGAAAAUAAGAGCAAAUAAUUUUCUUGAAAAUAAAAAUUGAUUGAAGAACUUAGUACCGGCUGAGUUUGACAUUUAUCUUUAUUACUCUUUAAUUAGUAACUACUUUAUUACAUAUUCAUAAUUAAAGUUUUGCAAACAUAUAGUUGUGGACCCCGCAUUUCGGCUCAAUGUGUUUCCCACUCGAAUGACGAACUUGAUUUUUGUUUUCGAAAAAUGAUAUUUCUUGAUUAAGAAAAAUUGACUUGGAGUCGCCACUUAUUUUUGUUUUAUUUUUAAAGGGUAACAAAAUAAGAAAGAAAAUCCUAAGUGUGACUCCUUGUUUUGGAAAAGGUGGUCUGUGAAAAACCUGAUCGGGCUCGGGGGUCAGGUUACUUAUCGGGAAGGUACGGUACGGACCAUAGCACCCCUCUAAGUCCCUAAAGUCGGGUCUCUACUAAUACAAUGAAACUGACGUGGCAAUCAACGAGAAAGUCAAUGGAUACUCACCUAAAUCAUGCACAAUAUGAGAAUCAAAACAAGUAAUAGAGAUUGACUGGAAUGAGAGUGGAUGCGUACCUCGGCCACGAGCCACAAUGCGCUAUCAAGAAACGGGAUUAGCGCACAAUUAAUGAAUACAAAAUAUAGCUCAUACAUAUCGAAGUGCAAAAUGAAGAUCAGACAAAAUACAUCAAGUGCAACAGUUGACAAUCGAAAGGGAUCAAACAUCGGGCCCCCACCAAAGCCCAAUUUAUGGUUCAUGAAUUAAUGUUACAAAUUUCGUGUUCUAGAAUUAUGAAUAAUUUAUUUUUGUUUAUGUAGAAUCAAGAAGAUUAGAAGAUUAUUUAAGAACCAAAAUGGAAUUAAAACUUUUCGAGUGAAAACUGGAUUCUUGGAGUUUAUUGGAAAAUUGGAGUCUUGGGAAUUAAAUUUAGAAGAUUAGAGCUUUAGUUAUUAAAAUGAAAAUUGCCAAAGAAAAUGAGAAAUGAACUUUAGGGAAUUAAACUGCAAGGACAUAGAUUUUGAAAGUUGAAUUUGUAAUAAUAAUAAUAAUAAGGAAUGAACUUUAGGAAAUUGAACUGCGAGAAUAUAGAUUUUUAAUAAUAAUAAUAAUAAUAAUAAUAAUAAUAAUAAUAAUAAUAAUAAUAAUAAUAAAUAAUGAUAAUAAGAAAUGAGCUUCAGGAAGUUGAACGGCUAGAGUAUAGAUUUUUAAUAAUAAUAAGAAGUGAACUUUAGGAACUUAAAUUGCGAGGAUAUAGAUUUUUAAUAAUAACAAUAAUAAUAAUGACAAUAAUAAUAUUAGGAAAUUGAAGUGAGAGAGAGUAUAGAUUUUUAAUAAUAAUACUAAUAAUAAUGAUAAUAAUAAUAACCAUAAUAAUAAUAAUAACAAUAAAUGAUAAUAAUAAUAUGGAUAAACAAAAGGGAUUAAAAGGGCUUUGGAAUUAGAAGGGCCUAGGAUGAUAACAAUAAUGAUAAUAAUAAUAAUGAGGUUUUGAAAGUUGAAUUAAUAAUAAUAAUAAUAAUGAGAUUUUUGAAAAGUUUGGAUUAAUGAUGAUAAGAGUAAUAGUAAAUAGGUGAUGAAAGUGUGAAUUAAUAACAAUGAUAAUAAUAAGGUUUUUGAAAGUUUGGAUUAAUGAUAAAUGGGUGAUGAAAGUUGAGUUAAUAAUAAUAAUAAUAAUAAGAUUAUGGAAGUUUGGAUUAAUGAUAAUAAUAAAUGGGUUUUGAAAGUUGAGGUAAUAAUAAUAAUAAUAAUGAGAUUUUUGAAAAGUUUGGAUUAAUGAUGAUAAGAAUAAUAGUAAGUAGGUGAUGAAAGUGUGAAUUAAUAACCAUGAUAAUAAUAAGGUUUUUGAAAGUUCGGAUUAAUGAUAAAUAGGUGAUGAAAGUUGAGUUAAUAAUAAUAAUAAUAAUAAGGUUUUUGAAAGUUUGGACUAAUGAUAAAUGGGUGAUGAAAGUUGAGUUAAUAAUAAUAAUAAUAAUAAUAAUCUACAUUAAGCCCAAGUCUAAAAGCCUAAGCCCAUGUCCAUCUCAUUAAAAAGAGCCCAUCUCCAUCAAGCCCCAAAUCUAUCAGCCUAAGCCCAUGCCCAUAAGAUAUCAACGGGCAAACCCAAGGCAAUUAAAGCCUUCAUAAACGUGGGCUUCUCUUCAUAGGCUUGGGCCUGGGUUCCAAGUUCAAAACCCAAGCCCAAAACCAUCAUGGGCAAAAUAGCCCAUCUCUUCACCAUCUGUCUCUCCACCCGCGAAGUCUCCACCGGCGGCACGAUGAAGAGGAGAGUCGUGGCAGCGCAGGGAAAAGAGGAGCAGUGGCGGCGCAGGGAAGAGGGGAACCGUGGCGGCGAUCCGGUGACGUUCAAAAGGUGUUGCCGCCAUGGUGGCUGGUGCAGGUGCGCGCGUAGCCGAAGCAGGUGGUGGCGGUUUGUUGACGUUAAGAAGGUGUUGCCAGUUCAGGGAGCGUGAAGGAUGACGACGCCACGCGUGCAUGGGAGGUCGUGAUACUCUCCAGGCCGCCGACAAACGCGCCUCUGAUGAAGACGGGGGGGAGUGAUGGCGGAAGCAGCUUACAUGUUUGGACCCCAUGCGUGUAGAAGGGCGGCUUUGGAAGCUCUCGCGGGGAUAGGUAUGGCGGUUGGAGGGAGAAAAGGUAUGGCAUCAAGGAUCUUAGGUGGUUUAACUAUGGUAGAUAUAGCUUCCUCUAUCAUCGAUGGGUGGACUGGUAGAAAGGUUCGGGUCCAAUGCCAUUGGGUUGGCAUGAAGCACCCGAAGUAACGGAGAAGCUCAUUCAUUGAGAGGCCAAGAAUGAGCACGCUGUAAAUCAACACUGACUGUGCCAAUUUUCUCUUCUUCAUCUCAUCCCGUAAUUCACAAGCACAAGUCAUGUUCUAUAUUCCCCAUUUCAUGAACCGAUAAACAUAAAAAAAAUAAUACAAUCCAACUAGUAGAGUAGGAAUCACAUAGUAUGAAAUAUAACGAGUAUGAAGAGCGAAAAUACACAGGAAAAACCAUGAUAAACGUACCUAAAGAUGAUCCCCUCCAGCUAGGUUCCCCCGAGAAAAAUCCAUCAGCCCCUUUUUUUUUCUUUCUGUCUCCCCUCUUUUUUUUUUUUUUCCUUUUCUUUUCUCUUCUUCUUUGUUCUCCUUUAGUUUCUCCCCCAAGCCAUGUUCGUAUCCCGUCCCAUCUGCCGCCUGAGAGCAGCCCACUUCAGUCCCCUUUUUCUCUGCCCCCAAAAACAGCUUUCCCAUCAUGUCGAACGGCUCGGGAAAAAAAAAAGGUAGGAAAAAAAAAAAAAUAAUAAUAAUAAUAAAAAAAAAACUGCCUGUUUCCGAGGGGGUCUACAAAUAUGUCCCUCUUCGGUAGAGUUCAUGAGUGUAAGGAAUAUGAACACUGAAGUGAAAAGAAGGUGUGAAUAGUGAGUGUAAUGAAAUGAACUCUACCGAAGAACCAAGGAGACCCCCAUAGGGACACUAGUGAAGCAUGAACUCACUCAGACCAAGAGACAAACACAAAAGUUCUAAUCCUAAGAGAAAAAAAAAACCUCAAAAUGUCUCUGAAGCCGCACUGAGAACCCAGGCUCCCUCCAGGAAUGUCUCCAGAAGUGACUCGAAAGACCAUAUCAAGGAUGAGUAACGGCCGAACCACUCUGAAAUACGGGAAAGAAUGUGCCAGAAGGAGACUACCCUAAGUGAACUAUAUGAAAAUGGCAAGUGUAGGGCAUCUAACAACAUGACCGAAGUAUGUGUCGUGAACUCAAAGGACAUCGUCAUAAGCAGUGAGAAGAGAGAUAUGAAAGGACAAUGACGAAUAGGCUAUAAGCACGAGGUGGCAAGGUGAGGAAAACGAGGAAAAACGCAAAUCCAUGAAGGCAACAUGCGCAAUGCUAGUGGAUAUGAAUGUCGGGGCCUGUGACUCUGAAUGAUACAGAUGAGAAGAAAUGACUCUGAACGUCAAAACACGAAAAGGUGAUGACUCAAGGUGCCUGAAGGGAUAUGUACAAUGGCUCUGGAUGCCAAACUAAAGAAAGAUGGUGGCAUCGAAUGCCUGAAUGGGCAUGAAAAAUGGCUCUGAAUGCCAAAACUAAGAACGAAGAUGGCUCUAACCGCCAAACCGAAUAAGCGAUGAUGGCUUUGAACGCCAAACUGAGAAUGAUGAUGGCUCUGAACGACGAAACUGAGAAUAAAGAUGGCUCUGAACACCAAAAUGAGAAGUGAUGACGGCUCUGAACGCUAAACUGAAAAUAGUGAUGGCUCUGAACGCCAGAACUGAGAAGUGAUGACGACUAUGAACGCCAAACUGAAAAUAGUGAUGGCUCUGAACACCAAAACUGAGAAACGAUGAUGGCUCUGAACGCCAAAGCUGAGAAUGAUGAUGGCUCUGAACGCCGAAACUGAGAAUAAGGAUGGCUCUGAACACCAAAUUGAGAAGUGAUGACGGCUCUGAACGCCAAACUGAAAAUAGUGAUGGCUCUGAACGCCAAAACUGAGAAACGAUGAUGGCUUUGAACGCCAAAGCUGAGAAUGAUGAUGGCUUUGGACGCCGAAACUGAGAAAUGAUGACGGCUCUGAACGCCAAACUGAAAAUAGUGAUGGCUUUGACCGCCAAACUGAGAAUGAUGAUGGCUCUGAAUGCCGAAAUUGAGAAGUGAUGACGGCUCUGAACGCCAAACUGAAAAUAGUGAUGGCUCUGAAUGCCAAAACUGAGAAUGACCGCCAAACUGAGAAUAAUAAUAAUGGCUCUGAAUGCCGAACUGAGAAGUGAUGAUGGCUCUAAACGCCAAACUGAAAAUAGUGAUGGCUCUGAAUGCCAGAACUGAGAAGUGAUGACGGCUCUGAAUGCCAAACUGAAAAUAGUGAUGGCUCUGAAUGCCAAAAUUGAGAACGAAGAUGGCUCUGACCACCAAAACUGAGAAUGUGAUAGCACUCGAUGUCGAAAUGAAAACACAGCUCUGAACGCCAAAUGGAAAAAGUGGCUCUAAACGCCAAAUAGGAAAAUGAACAAUGGCUCUGAACGCCAAACGGAAAACAAACAAUGGCUCUGAACGCCAAAACGAAGCAAUGGCUUUGAACGCCAAAUGGAAAACAAUGGCUCUAAACGCCAAACUAAACUGAAUAACCAUGAACGUCAAGCUGAGAAGGACGACUCUGAACGUCAUAACAAGAAAGGCACGAAAACUCUGAACACCAAACUGAAAGGGAAUGAUGGGAGGAAAUAUGCCCUAGUGUAGCGUGUCACCACAACUCUCGAUCCAUCGGAAGGGUCUAGAAGAGACUCCAUAAGUCUCGAAAGAUGCUCGACUAGUGAGUCAGGAUGAUCAAACCAAAUGAUCCAAUAAGGAGCCCCCAGAGAAAACGAUCUGAUAGGGUAAUCACUGUGAUCUCAAUACAACCCUCUACCGAAGAAUCAUGGAUAGCGAGGCAGUCGCAACCCGAACAUCAUGCUACACUAAAAGCUCAUCUCGAUGAAUAUCGCCAAAAUAGUGACCCAUGAAGCAAAUACGAUAUCUCUCGAUCAAAUGAUGAAAACUGUAACAGAUCCGUGACAGAACGACCAUCUCCAUAGCUGAAGGAAGGAAAUAUGCCCCAGUAUGGCAUCAGAUGUAUCCGAUCUGUCCUGAUGACUCAUGAAUAACUCGAUAGGGAUGCAUAGAAGAUCUAACAUGUGAUCCGAUGAAAUGAUGAUGUGAGGGUCCACGAGCCUGAGAUGACUCCAUCCAAAAAUCGUAAUGAUAUCAUAAAGUGUGAACCCGAUGAAACGACUCAAGGAAAAGUCCAUCUGAGAGUCAUGACAGAAUGAAACCGAAUCAUCAACCCGACACAUCUCGUAACUGAGGGCGAUCACGCAAAAGCGGCAAAUCUCGAUCGAGAGUGAAAAUAUGCCCUAGUAUGGCAUCAAAUGUGUGACAAGUCAGGAAAUUCAAAUGACGUCGAAUCAUGCAUCAACAGAUAUGUAAUCUCGGUCAUCCGAAUCCAUAACAGCAUCACGCUCAUCAAGCUAAGAUGCAUCUGUCAGAUAGAGGGGCAAGAUGGCAUCUGAGUGCCGAGAAGUGCGUGCCUAACUGGAUGACUCCCGAGAGGCUCCACUGAGGAAUCAUCGUAACAAUAGCGAACAAAUCAUCGUCUCGGCACGUACUCCAUAAGUGGGAACGAUCAUGUAACUCUUUGGAGAUCUCCAAACCUCAUCCGAAAUGGAAAGAUGCCCCAGUGUGGCAUCAAAUAUACGAUAAGUCGGAAAUCUGGUAAUACAGAGUCAUCUAUCAUCGGACAUGUGAUCUCUGUGAUCCAAAUCAAAUCCAAACAUCCAGGGACCAUCUCUCAGAAUAGAAAGUAUGAAAACAACUCGAUGUCGAGAAAUGCAGACCUGGAUGAGUGGCUCCACCGAGGGAUCAUCAUAAAAUAGUGAAAACGUCAUCGUCUCAGCGCAUACCCCACAAGUGGGGAUAGCAACUCCGUGAAGAUCGACAAAUCUCAUCCAAAACGGAAAUAUGCCCCAACAUGGCAUCAGGUGUAUAGUAGGUCUGGCUGAAUGGCCCCAAAGAGGCUCCACUGAAGGAUCGUCAUAAAAUAGCGACCACCCCAUCAUCUCAACACCUAUAUCGUAAAUGAGGAUAAGCAUGCAAACCCGUGAGGAUCUGUAAAAUCAUAUCUGAAACGAAAAUAUGCCCCAGUAUGGGCUCUGAACGCCGAUAUUGAGAAGUGAUGGCUCUGAACGCCGAAACUGAGAAGUGAUGAUAGCUCUGAACGCCGAGACUAGGAGAAUAAUAGAUCUGGAAGCCAAAUCAAAAAGCUAACUCUAAACACUAAACUAGAAGAAUAAUGGCUCUGGAAGCCAAACCAAAAAACUAACUCUAAAUGCUAAACUGAGAAAAUAAUAGCUCUGGAAGCCAAACCAAAAAGCUAACUCUAAACACUAAACUAGAAGGCCCAUAGGUGAAGACCUACGGUGGUGAUAAAUCUGAAACAAAGAGGGAUGCCCUAAGCAAACUGACGGUAGGGGAAAGCCCUAAACAAGAUGAAAAUAUGGGGAUGUCCUAAACGAAAUGACAGUGGGGGAUGCCCCAAACGUAAAUGACAGUGGGGGGAUGCCCCAAACGUAAAUGACAGUGGGGGAAUGCCCCAAACGUAAAUGACAGUGGGGGAUGCCCCAAACGAAAUGACAGUGGGGGGAUGCCCCAAACAAAAAUGACAGUGGGGGGAUGCCCCAAAACGAGAAUGACAGUGGGAGGAUGCCCCAAACGUAAAUGACAAUGGGGGGAUGCCCCAAAACGAGAAUGACAGUGGGGGAUGCCCCAAACGAAAUGACAGUGAGGAGAUGCCCCAAACGAAAUGACAGUGGGGGGAUACCCCAAAACGAGAAUGACAGUGGGGAGAUGCCCCAAACGAAAUGACAGUGGGGGGAUGCCCCAAAACGAGAAUGACAGUGGGGGAAUGCCCCAAACGAAAUGACAGUAGGGGGAUGCCCUAAACAAGGUGACAAUAGAGGGAUGCCCUAAACAAACUGACGGUAGGGGGAUGCCCUAGGUGAUAACUCGCAAAGAUCGACAAAUGCGUUUGUCAAUCAUGAAAUCAACACGAGGCAUGGCAAACCCAAAGAAAGGGGUGUAUGACCCAGUAAGAAAAGCGCUAAAGGGGUAUGCCUCGAUAUGAUGACUCACAAAGAUCAAGAAAUAGAUCGAGUAGUGAGAAAGUACACAAAAGACUUGAUAAACACAAGGAUGGGGGGUAUGCCCCAGUGUGAUGACCCACAAAGAUCAAGAAAUAGAUCGAACAAUGAGAAAGUCCGCAAAAGAUCUGGUAAACUCAAGGAUGGGGGGUAUGCCCCAGUGUGAUGACCCACAAAGAUCAAGAAAUAGAUCGAAAAGUGAGAAAGUCCGUAAAAGAUCUGGUGGACUCAAGGAUGGGGGUAUGCCUCAAUGUAAAAUAGUAACCAAGAUAAGGCGCAGAAUGUCAUCAAACAAGACACUCUAGGAUAUGCUCAAUGAUGAUGCAACGAAAAAACACAUACAUAGCCUCAAUGAACAAAUGCUAAAACAAGUCCAAGCAUCACUGAAACUAUGCUGACAAAGCAAAACUAAAAUAAUGGAUCAAACAAAUGCUGACCAAAACUCUAGGUCUGAAAUGUAAGCAAAUCAAGACACGACGUGUCAACUAUCAAUAUGAGAACAUCAUCACAAAUACAUCAUCAAUCUAACAGGCGCUACCAUCACGGAAGAUGUUGAACCUAAUGUCCAAAGACGUGUGGAAACUCAACUAGAAAGCUCAAGACUUGUCCAUAUCUUCCUCUGAUCAAGAUAAGAGGAUAAGGUCGUGUAAGAUGGUGGAAUAUACGGGCUCAAAAGAUGUAAGGCUCUGAUAAGAUGAGUGUAGGUAUAACAGAGUCCAAUGUAGGAUGUAUAGGUGUGUAACAAAGGAAAGUGGGUACCCAAGUCGGACCAAGUACGUCGGGAAGAUUGAACCCAGGGUGCCAAUGACUCUAUAAUCCAUCGAGAGCAGCAAUCAUCAACAGGAAGUGGAGUCUCAAUGUCAAAAUCAGCAAGGUAGGUAUGCCCCAGUAUGAAUGCAUCAUCUCAAAAUGGGUAAGUCCUCAGUGCAAGAUAAACCCUGGGAAGUAUGUGUCUGGCAUAAACUGUCAUCUCACAAAAUCAUCAUCGAUGAGUGGGCUAUGCCCCAGUGUAAGCAUCUCUGAAUCAAACAUCAAUGAGAGGAGUACAACCAAUCAUACAUCAUCUGAUCAAAAUGAACAUCUGCUCAUCAAAGCCAUCGUGGUAAUGUGAAGAGAAUAUCUGACCUCCCCAAAAAAAAAGAGCAUGUCCCAAUGUGAACUGAUAUCUCUAAGAUCAACCGCCAAUGAAAGGGGUAUGCCCCUGUGUAAAGUACACCAGAUGAAACGCGCCAAUCAUGUCUCAUGCUCCAAUGUGAAAAAGGACAUCUGAUAUCCUCCCAGGAAGAGACAUGGCUCAAAAAUCCGUCAUCGACUGAGAAGAGUAUGUCUCGACAUAAUGGUCAUCCGAUAAUAAAACUCUCUGAGAUGGCUAUGCCCCAAUGUAAGGUCAUACCCUAACUCCCGGUCCAUCACCAUCAGAAUGCUCUCGAAUCAAUCCCAAGUACCGCUCACAUAAGAGCUAACAAACACAAUGCAUGAUGGGUCAAAAGAACCAGAUGAGUUCAGAUCACCCGUCAUCGAAUGCGCGAUCCAAAUCAUCCACGUGUACAACUGAAUCAGACCCAUAGAUCAAAAGGGCGUCUCUCGGAAGGAAAACAUGAUGACAUCGAAGCGUCGCGAAGUGCAGGCCUAACUAGGUAACUCUCGAGAGGCUCCACGGAGGAAACAUCGUGUCAAUGUGUAUCUCGUAAGUAGGGAUGAGCAUACAACUUCAUGAAGGUCCGUAAAUCUCAAUCGAAACGGAAAUAUGCCCCAGUAUGGGCAUCGAACGUAUGACAGGUCAGAAAUCGGGCGACAUGAAAUCGUUUAUCAUCGGUCAUGCGACAUAAGUGAAGAUCCAUAAAUCACAUCUGAAACGGAAAAUAUGCCUCAGUAUGACAUCAAGUGCGCGACAGGUUCGAAUGACAAAUGUCAUGAAAUCAUCUAUCGUCGCACAUGUAACACUGGUCAUCCGAAUCCAUAACUGAAUCAUGCACAUAUAUCCAAGAUGUCCUCCCAGAUGAAGAAGCAUGAUGGCAUCCAAGCGUCGAGAAGUGCGGACCUGGCUGGGUGGAUCUCAGAGGCUCCGUAAGGUAACGAUCAUGUCCAUGUCUCGGUGAGCAUCCAGUAAGUGAUGAUCGUGCAAGUCCGUGAGGAUCCAUGAACCUCCAAAUGAAAUGGGAUAUGCCGAAGUGUGGCACCAGAGGUAUGAUAGGUCAAAAAAAUCAGGUGACACCAAGUCAAUCAUCAUCAAACUCACGAUCCCGGUAAUCCGAACACAAUUGAAUCAGUCCUACACAUCAAAGGGGCGACUCCCAGAAGAAGAAGCAUGACAAUAUCUAAAUAUCAACCAGAUCUCAAUCGCCUGUCCAAGUAGAGGCUGCCGAAGACGACAUCUGAUCCCAUGGCCUCAAGGUGGUCUUAAGACACGGGACGUAACGUAGGCCAAGGUGAUAGGGUGAUAGAAACGAAAGAAAACUAGGCUCAAAUACCCAAUGAUCAAAACUCAUGCCCUCAUAUAUGAAAUGCAACAUGUAUAGUGAACUCCAUGAGCCAUGGACCUGAGAAUGCCUAACGUGAAUAUGAUAUCGAUAAGGAGACAAAUGAAGCAAAAUGAACUGAUAGUGAUAUGCGUAAUGAUGAUGCGAAGUGAGCAUCGAACCCGAAAUGGGUCGCUGUAAGGAGAGAAUAAGACGUGAAGGGAAUGAGAUGAAUCACAAGCAACGAUAAAAGCGACAGCGAAACAACGAAUAUGUGAAGAAAGGUGGUGAUCGACUCAGAUCAAACAUGAAGUGAAGUCACAUCAAUAAUGAAUGUAAUGAUGGAAAGGACAAUGACUCAGAGUCCUUAGGAGAAGGUCACUCAUCUCUCUCACAAAUAGAUAUGACGAAGCAAUACAAAUAACAUGGGAUCUCAGAGAGUUCACAUACGAACUCCCAAUAACGAACAUACUCGAUAAAAAUGACCCCCAGACGUCAAUAUACAUACCCAAUGAUCGAGAACACUAUGCACAUACACACAUGUGCUAAUAAUAAUAAUUUUCUUUUUCUCUUUCUUUCUUUCUUUCUUUCUUAACAAAUGAACCCCAAAGAUGAUAUCGAUAACAAAUGGACACACCCCCAAGUGCUAAGGUAACAAACAAACUCUCUCUGACAAGAUGACCUUCUCAAACUAAGGAUCUCUAAACCAGUGUCCGCAAGAUAGAUGGUGGAAAUGAUGUGACUACCCUCCAUGUGAUGAACUGAGAAGGCUCACCACUCAGGGUGGAGAGAAUAUGAAACCGAAAAAUAGUAGAUAGGAUAAGGAAGAAGAGAUGAAUAACACAACCAACAAGAUGAGAUGAAAAUGCAGAGGUGUAGUGAUAGGAAAAGAUAAUGAGAAAAAUGUGCUCCUAGGUCCAAGGCUCAUGAGACCCCCAAACAAUGCAUGCAUACAUUAAAGGGCCCCUAUUUCGAUGUGAAAAUGUGAGCAAGGCGAUAAGAAAGAAAGGCUAUAAUUCGCAUUGCGAGGCUCAAUGGGCUAGCAACGGACUAUGUAUCAAAAAAGGGAAUAACAAGGUAUAUAGCUAACCGAAAUGAUGGCCACCCAUCCUGCGACCAUGGUCUCAAACAUAGUACCUCUUUAGCCGAUCCACAUUGGUCGGCUCUGAGAGUCGGUUUCCAUCUAAAUCCAUCAACCAUGCAGCGCCUUCUGAGGUGAACUCCCUGAUGAAAUAAGGUCCGCUCCAGUUGGGUCUGAACUUCUCUCUAGGAUCAUGUAUCAACCGUACUCCGAACGCUCCAUAAUAAUCUCAAAGAUGAUCCUCUCAAAGCAAAGUGAAUGGUGAUCUCAUCAGGCACGACUGCCCAUCAUAAGCCAACUCUCAUCAUACAAUAUCAACCUCUGUACUCACGGAAAAAAAAAAAUGACAGUCUCAUCAAGCAAUCGACCAAUCCUCACAUCGUAAGCCACCCAAAGAUCAUAAGCCAACCCUCGCCAUGCGAGAUCAACCCUGGGCUCAAACUCCUCAUACUCUACCUGGUCGAAUCAGAGAGGGGAUGUGUAAAGCUAGAAAAAACCAAGGAUGGGAAGGUCAUAUAAUGGUCUCAAGGGUAGUGCUGUGCAAAGCUCACAAUGGAUGGAUGUAGGUCAAAACAGAGUCAAAGUGCGGGAAGUGAGCAAGGCACUGCUCUGAUCAUAAGAAGCUGUGUCACAGUCUCGAACUCCCUAAGUCAAAUCUCUGAUCCUAGGCUAAUAAGCUCAAUAUCCUCCAUGAUAGGUCAAGCCUCAAGACCACAAUGUGCAAGUGAAGAGAUGCCUCAAGUAAAAAGAACAACACAUCAUAUCACAAAACACAAGCAUAUGUCCAUAAAGGAAAAGACAUCCAAUGGGAUAACCGAUGAGUAUAUCAUGCAAAAGAAAGAUAACAAAGACAAUACUCAAGAAUCGAGUUAUAGUCUCUAAAAGUCAAAAGUAAAACAAGACUAAACAAACAAAAACAAAAACAGUGACUGGUCCUGUCAUCACAUCGGUCGAAAAUCGAACCAAGGACCAAACAAAGAAUGAGGUACUGAGCCCGUGAUAGGUGUGCAGUGUAAAAAGAUGAUCAAUGAACAUAUCCUAAAGUAUUGAGUGAGUGAUAAUCAAAGUGAAGGGGUGUGUCGAGCCAAGAAAUGGGAACGAAAACCCUAGAGAGAAAACAUGCUAAACUCGUCAAGUGAAAAACACAAACUAAGGCGACCAGACGAAGGUGAUCCAACCGAUACUCAAACUCAUACCGAUCUCCGAACACUCUCAACUGGAGACUAAAAAGAGGGAAUACUGGAUCUAAACUGUAACUAAAGAGGCUCUGAAGGCCCUCAGAUGCACCCACGUGUAGGGAGGGAGUCCUAAUCGAAGGAUCUACAGCUUAACCUACGAGGUCAAGGUGGCUCUAAAUGGGUAUGGGUGGACUUUAAAGGAUCCCUAGCAGAAGCGAUCAUACCCUCCGACGGUACGCAACCCUCUGCACGCCUCCAAAGAGACGGGGCGCUUCCACGUAAGGUGGUCAUCACCUCCACACGUGCACUACCUCGACAUCCUAGGGAGUUUCCUAUGGUGAAACCUUUCAAACUCUUAACUCUCAAUAGUCAACUAGAGUGCACAAUGAAUGGUGUGGGUGCAUCCGAAAACCCUAAGAAGCUAAAGCAGGAAGGGAAACACACUGGCCGCACAAAUAUCCAUGAAACCUAGCUCGGGGCUACACAGGUCUUCAAUGAUCGGACUCCAAUCUGCAUCAACGUGUCGCUCUCCUCCAGAAUGCUCCCAAACAUCGGUAUAGCCCGUCGCUAGACCCUAUUCCUAACCUCUAUCUCGGUCAGAGUACAAGCACACACAAGGCCUCACACUUGCAAAAGUGAGAACCAGAAUGAAGGAAAUGACUGAGACUAGAGAGUCGGAGAUAAGGGGAUAGAUGUGCUACCCACAUAGACAAGCAACAUACAAUCACGCAGAGAAGGGCAGUCAUGCAGCACACAAUCAGGCAAAGCUCAGAGAUAUCAUCAUGUACACACAAGAUAAGCGAGAAUACGACAAUUAAGACGAAUAGUGAUACAAACAUCAUGCUCAAAGACGAUCAAAAUAGUAUACAAGUCACAUAAUCAACAUGUCAAGCUGAGUGAUGUACAGUGGUGAGUGUAUGCAUGUGAAGUGAUCAGAACAAUCAUGGCAAAAUCAGAGUCAAUAUGCUAAGCAAGGCAAUAAGAUCAAUCAAUAUAAUCAGCAUGUCAAUAUCUCAAACGAAUAUAUCAAUGAAGCACAGGAGAAAACACGGCAUCGGAAUCCUCAAUCAAGACAAAUCAGUCAACAUAAUCAACAUGUCAAAAUCCCAAAUGGAUAUAACAUCUAAGCAUGCAUCAAAAGCUCUCAAUGUGCAAUCAAGAAAUGAGCAUCCACUGAUCGUCCAAUCGAAUGCCACGUUUGCUUCACUCUAAGUUCAAGUUUGACCCUCUAAAUGAUCCCCAGUGGAGUCGCCAUUUUGUGGACCCCGCAUUUCGGCUCAAUGCGUUUCCCACUCGAAUGGCGAACUUGAUUUUUGUUUUCGAAAAAUGAUAUUUCUUGAUUAAUAAAAAUUGACUUGGAGUCGCCACUUAUUUUUGUUUUAUUUUUAAAGGGUAACAAAAUAAGAAAGAAAACCCUAAGUGCGACUCCUUGUUUUGGAAAAGGUGGUCUACGAAAAACCUGAUCAGGCUCGAGGGUCAGGUUACUUAUCAGGAAGGUACGGUACGGACCAUAGCACCCCUCUAAGUCCCUAAAGUCGGGUCUCUACUAAUACAAUGAAACUGACGUGGCAAUCAACGAGAAAGUCAAUGGAUACUCACCUAAAUCAUGCACAAUAUGGGAAUCAAAACAUGUAAUAGAGAUUGACUAGAAUGAGAGUGGAUGCGUACCUCGGCCACGAGCCACAAUGCGCUAUCAAGAAACGGGAUUAGCGCACAAUUAAUGAAUACAAAAUAUAGCUCAUACAUAUCGAAGUGCAAAAUGAAGAUCAGACAAAAUACAUCAAGUGCAACAGUUGACAAUCGAAAGGGAUCAAACAUUGGGCCCGCACCAAAGCCCAAUUUAUGGUUCAUGAAUUAAUGUUACAAAUUUCGUGUUCUAGAAUUAUGAAUAAUUUAUUUUUGUUUAUGUAGAAUCAAGAAGAUUAGAAGAUUAUUUAAGAACCGAAAUGGAAUUAAAACUUUUCGAGUGAAAACUGGAUUCUUGGAGUUUAUUGGAAAAUUGGAGUCUUGGGAAUUAAAUUUAGAAGAUUAGAGCUUCAGUUAUUAAAAUGAAAUUUGCCAAAGAAAAUGAGAAAUGAACUUUAGGGAAUUAAACUGCAAGGACAUAGAUUUUGAAAGUUGAAUUUGUAAUAAUAAUAAUAAUAAGGAAUGAACUUUAGGAAAUUGAACUGUGAGAAUAUAGAUUUUUAAUAAUAAUAAUAAUAAUAAUAAUAAUAAUAAAUAAUGAUAAUAAGAAAUGAGCUUCACGAAGUUGAACGGCUAGAGUAUAGAUUUUUAAUAAUAAUAAGAAGUGAACUUUAGGAACUUAAAUUGCGAGGAUAUAGAUUUUUAAUAAUAACAAUAAUAAUAAUGAUAAUAAUAAUAUUAGGAAAUUGAAGUGAGAGAGAGUAUAGAUUUUUAAUAAUAAUACUAAUAAUAAUGAUAAUAAUAAUAACCAUAAUAAUAAUAAUAACAAUAAAUGAUAAUAAUAAUAUGGAUAAACAAAAGGGAUUAAAAGGGCUUUGGAAUUAGAAGGGCCUAGGAUGAUAACAAUAAUGAUAAUAAUAAUAAUGAGGUUUUGAAAGUUGAAUUAAUAAUAAUAAUAAUAAUGAGAUUUUUGAAAAGUUUGGAUUAAUGAUGAUAAGAGUAAUAGUAAAUAGGUGAUGAAAGUGUGAAUUAAUAACAAUGAUAAUAAUAAGGUUUUUGAAAGUUUGGAUUAAUGAUAAAUGGGUGAUGAAAGUUGAGUUAAUAAUAAUAAUAAUAAUAAUAAGAUUAUGGAAGUUUGGAUUAAUGAUAAUAAUAAAUGGGUUUUGAAAGUUGAGGUAAUAAUAAUAAUAAUAAUGAGAUUUUUGAAAAGUUUGGAUUAAUGAUGAUAAGAAUAAUAGUAAGUAGGUGAUGAAAGUGUGAAUUAAUAACCAUGAUAAUAAUAAGGUUUUUGAAAGUUCGGAUUAAUGAUAAAUAGGUGAUGAAAGUCGAGUUAAUAAUAAUAAUAAUAAUAAGGUUUUUGAAAGUUUGGACUAAUGAUAAAUGGGUGAUGAAAGUUGAGUUAAUAAUAAUAAUAAUAAUAAUAAUCUACAUUAAGCCCAAGUCUAAAAGCCUAAGCCCAUGUCCAUCUCAUUAAAAAGAGCCCAUCUCCAUCAAGCCCCAAAUCUAUCAGCCUAAGCCCAUGCCCAUAAGAUAUCAACGGGCAAGCCCAAGGCAAUUAAAGCCUUCAUAAACGUGGGCUUCUCUUCAUAGGCUUGGGCCUGGGUUCCAAGUUCAAAACCCAAGCCCAAAACCAUCAUGGGCAAAACAGCCCAUCUCUUCACCAUCUGUCUCUCCACCCGCGAAGUCUCCACCGGCGGCACGAUGAAGAGGAGAGUCGUGGCAGCGCAGGGAAAAGAGGAGCAGUGGCGGCGCGGGCAAGAGGGGAACCGUGGCGGCGAUCCGGUGACGUUCAGAAGGUGUUGCCGCCAUGGUGGCUGGUGCAGGUGCACGCGUAGCCGGAGCAGGUGGUGGCGGUUUGUUGACGUUAAGAAGGUGUUGCCAGUUCAGGGAGCGUGAAGGAUGACGACACCACGCGUGCAUGGGAGGUUGUGAUACUCUCCAGGCCGCCGACAAACGCGCCUCUAAUGAAGACGGGGGGGAGUGAUGGCGGAAGCAGCUUGCAUGUUCGGACCCCAUGCGUGUAGAAGGGCGGCUUUGGAAGCUCUCGCGGGGAUAGGUAUGGCGGUUGGAGGGAGAAAAGGUAUGGCAUCAAGGAUCUUAGGUGGUUUAACUAUGGUAGAUAUAGCUUCCUCUGUCAUCGAUGGGUGGACUGGUAGAAAGGUUCGGGUCCAAUGCCAUUGGGUUGGCAUGAAGCGCCCGAAGUAACGGAGAAGCUCAUUCAUUGAGAGGCCAUGGAUGAGCACGCUGUAAAUCAACACUGACUGUGCCAAUUUUCUCUUCUUCAUCUCAUCCCGUAAUUCACAAGCACAAGUCAUGUUCUAUAUCCCCCAUUUCAUGAACCGAUAAACAUAAAAAAAAUAAUACAAUCCAACUAGUAGAGUAGGAAUCACAUAGUAUGAAAUAUAACGAGUAUGAAGAGCGAAAAUACACAGGAAAAACCAUGAUAAACGUACCUAAAGAUGAUCCCCUCCAGCUAGGUUCCCCCGAGAAAAAUCCAUCAGCCCCCUUUUUUUUCUUUCUGUCUCCCCUCUUUUUUUUUUUUUCCUUUUCUUUUCUCUUCUUCUUUGUUCUCCUUUAGCUUCUCCCCCAAGCCAUGUCCGUAUCCUGUCCCAUCUGCCGCCUGAGAGCAGCCCACUUCAGUCCCCUUUUUCUCUGCCCCCAAAAACAGCUCUCCCAUCAUGUCAAACGGCUCGGGAAAAAAAAAAGGUAGGAAAAAUAAAAAAAUAAUAAAAAAACUGCUUGCUUCCGGGGGGGUCUACAAUAGUACUACACAAUAUUACCUAUAAAAAUUAUGUAAUAAAUAUGAAGGUGUACAUAUAAAAUGAUAUAGAAAUAUAAAUAGUAAAUAAUUAAUGAAAUGAAUUUAAUAUUAAAAAUAUGGGCUAUGAAAUUAUCUUAACAAACAUGAUUAAUGUAUUUAAUGACUUAAUAAAAUUAUCAAGUAAAGAAAUUCUUCAACAAACUUGGAGAACGACAUGAAAUGAGAAUGAGCCAUUAUUUGUCCAACAACCAAUAUAAACGGAGGAAAAACAAAAUUUAAAAACAAGAAACAUGUGCUGAUAAACUACGAAAUAACCAAAAUUUAAGUUCAAUACAUUGGAAUUUUAAUUGGAAUGAAAUGCAUAAUUACAUGUCCCGAAACGUAUAUGAUACUAUUUGAUGAAAAUAGUUACAAUGUAAAAACUUAAAAGAAGGUUGGUAUCUUAUUAUCCAACUCUUAACAUAGAUUGGCCCAUUGUGUAUCCCAGUUUGUUCACCAUCACAUACUGGGGCAUACCCUCCUUUCCUGGAUCAUCGGACCUUCCGUAGGUUUCAUUCACUUUUGAUCUAGUUGUUGACUCCCUGAGAGUUGCAUACUGAGGCAUACCCUCCUUCCCUAGGAUCAUUAGACCUUUCACAUGCUUCAUUAUCUUUCGACCUAGUUGUCGAUCCUCAUGAGUUGUCAUACUGGGGCAUAUCCCCUCCUGUCGAGUUUGCUUGCAUCGUCAUCUUAGUAUCAUCUGGCUUUGAGUCACUCAAUCAGAUCAUCAUCAUCAUCAUGUCAGUUCAGUUCGAGUCGGGACCGCACCUAUAUCAAUCGAUCAUCAUCGUGUCGGUUUGAGUCGGGACCGCACCUAUAUCAAUCGGUCAUCAUCGUGUCAGUUUAAGUCGGGGUCGCACCUAUGUCAAUCGGUCAUCUCCUUGUCAUGUUAUCGAGUUUUCGGGACCGCACCUAUAUCGAUCGGUCAUCAUCCUAUUAGUCAGUUUGAGUUCGAGUCGGGUCCGCACCUAUAUCGAUCGGCUAUCUCUCUGUCAUGUCAGUUUUCGAGUCGAGACCGCACCUAUAUCAAUCGGUCAUUCGUCGUGUGAGUCGAGUCGGGACCGCACCUAUAUCAAUCGGUCAUUCGUCGUGUCAGUCUGAGUCGGGGCCGCACCUAUAUCGAUCGGUCAUCUUCCUAUCAGUUCAGCUUGUGUUUUCGGGACCUCACCUAUAUCAAUCGGUCAUUCGUCGUGUCAGUCUGAGUCGGGGCUGCACCUAUAUCGAUCGGCCAUCUUCCUAUCAGUUCAGCUUGUGUUUCCGGGGCCGCACCUAUAUCGAUCGGCCAUUUUCCUAUCAGUUCAGCUUGUGUUUCCGGGACCGCACCUAUAUCGAUCGACCAUCUUCCUAUCAGUUCAGUUCGAGUCGGGACCGCACCUAUAUCGAUCGGUCAUUCGUCGUGUCAGUCUGAGUCGGGGCCGCACCUACAUCGAUCGGUCAUCUUCCUAUCAGUUCUGUUUGAGUCGGGGCCGCACCCAUAUCGACCGGCCAUUUUCCUAUCAGUUUGUGUUUAGUUUGAGUCGGGACCGCACCCAUAUAGAUCGGUCAUUCAUUCUUCCUAUCAGGUCAGUUCGACGUCCAGGUCUUUGUUUCAGUAUGACAUUCAGAGUCACUUUCCUCACCUGGCUACUCUGGUGCUUAUUGCUUAUUCAUCAGGCUCUUCUAGAUUUCCCCUUUCACUGCACAUGACAUAGUUCUUUGAGUUCGUGACACAUACUUUUGUCAUGUUAUUGGGCACCCUACACUCGGCAUUCUCGUAUAGCUCGCCUAGGGCAGUCUCCUUUGAGCGUAGUCUUUUCUAUAUUCCAGUGUGGUUCGACCGUUACUCAUCUUUGACAUCGAUUUUCGAGUCACUUUUAGAGAUAUCUUAGAAGGAGCCUGGAUUCUUAGUGUGGCUCCAGAGGCAUUUUGAGACAUCUCUCUCUUUUAGGAUUAAAGACCUUGUUGUUCAUUUUGCUAGCCUGAGUGAGUUUAUAUCUCACUAGUGUCCCUAUGGGGGUCUCCUUGGUUCUUCGGUAGAGUUCAGUUCAUUGCACUCACUAUUCACACUUACUUUUCACUCCAGUGUUCAUGUUCCUUACACUCGUGAACUCUACCGAAGAGGGACAUAUUUGUAGACCCCCUUUAAAGAGCUAAGGGGUAUUUAGUUUUAUAUAUAUAUAUAUAUAUUAGAGGAGCUGGCAGCACCCGAGAAGUGUGGGGGGGACCCCUCUCCAUGCGUGGGACCAGCUGCAAGAGACGCCAUGCUGCUAAUGAAGGAAGCCAUGCUGCCGACUGCUGAAAAAUAGAGAAGCAGGUGAUGGCUUGCCCGGGAAGGUAGGAACCGACUGGAGAGAAAAAGGCUGGGCUUGCCAAAGAAGAAGAGGGCAGGCAACGGCUGAAAAAAAAAAAAAAAAAAAAAAAAAAAAGGAACCUUGAGAGAUUUCUUUUCCGAGAACAGCCGCAUGAAGUGAAGGAAGAAAAAAAGUGAUCUGGAGAAGGGCACCAAGGGAAGAAAAGAGAAAGCUGGCUGGAGAGGGAGAUAGCUUGAGCUGGGUGAAAGAGAGGAAAACGGGUGGCAGUUGGGAGGAUUCUUUGAAGAGAAAAAAAUCUGGAGAGCAGAACAGAGGAACGGGAAGAGAGAGAGAGAGAGAAGCUGGGAAAGAGGGGUUGAAAAAGGAUUUUCAGCAAAAGGGAUUUUCGGGAUUUUCCAGGUGCGAAUCAGAGAGCAUAUUUAACUGAUUCGUGAGUUGCAUUGACUGAGCUAUAGUUCAUUUCGUUUUCUUCAUUUUGGUGUUGUUGGAAUUAUUUUUGUCUCUAUUUUAUUUGAGUUUGAUGCCCGAAAUCAUGCUUUUCACUUCUAUUAAUUCCACCCACCUUGGCCACGGAUGUCGCCUGAAAAUGGGUCUCUCCAUCCAUAACCAGUCAUGCCCAGAAAUUUCAGCGUUGUUUCAAAAAAAUCAGAAAAUGGGCUUCUCUACUGUGAAGGUCUCUAGCAAAGGUUGAAGCAAAAACAAAUAAAAAAACAAAAAAAAAAACAAAAAGUCAACAAAGUAGUACACAACCCAUUAUAAAAUAUUGAAGCCCGCAGACAAUGGACCCAUUUUCUUUUUUUAUUAAAUGCUCUCAUCUCUUUCUUAAUUUCCACUUCACGUUUUCAAAUAAAAUUUUUAAAACUUAGGUUUUUAAAUCUAAUUUCCAAAAUCUCAAUUCUCAACUAAUUUUUCAGAAAUUCCAAAUUGUUUUCAAAUAAGUUUUAAAACUCCAAUUUCCAAAUUUAAUUUCCGAAACUUUAAUUCUCAAAAUCUAAUUUUCAAAUCCAAUUUUUCGGAAUUCCAAUUUCCACAUUAUUUAAUUAAUCAUUAUUACUUUCAUUAUUAUUAUAUCCAUUUAUUUGUUGAUUCAUUCAUUUUUAAAAGAAUUCCAUUUUUAAAUAAUCCCUCAAAAUUCCAUUUUUCACAUUUCUUUAUCUAAUCAUUAUUAUUUUCGCUAUUGUUAUUAUUUUAUUCAUCUUAAUUAUUUAUUUUUGAAAAUUCCAUCUUUAAAUAAAUUCCAAUUUUUAAAUAAAUCCAAUUUGUGAACUUAACUUCCAAAAUUCCAAUUCUUAAAUUUAAUUCCUAAUACUCCAAUUUUCAGACAAAUUUCAAAAAUCCAGUCUUUACCCGAACAGUUUUAAUUCCAUUCCGGUUUUCAAAUAAUCUCAUGUUUCUCUUAAUUUUACAUAAGCAUGAAUGAAUUUUUCAUAAUUCCAUAAUAAUGGAAUCUGUGACAUUAAUUCAUGCAAAAUAAAUGGGUCUUGGUGGGAGCCCGACAUAUAUGAUUUUAUAAUUAAUUGAUUGAUUGAUUUAGUUGCUAUGCAUGAUUGUUUCUAUUCUGCCCUAUGACAUGCUUGAAAUUAUUCUUUAAUUGUGCACUAACCCCCUCUAUUGAUAGCGCAUGGUGGCUCGUUGCCCAGGUAUGUACCCAUUUUCCUCUAAUCGUUGUCUAUGCAUGUCUCGAUUUUUUAUGUGUGCAUAAUCAUUCAGGAUAUUCAUUGAUUUACUCGUCAAUUGCCACGUCAGCUUCAUUUUAUUAGUAGAGACUCGACUUUAGGGGCUUAGAGGGAUGCUACGGUUUUUACCGUACUUUCCCGAUAAGUAACCUGACCCCGAACCCGAUCCGGUUUUUCACAGACCAUCUUUUCCAAAAAAAAGGAGUCACAUUUAGGGUUUUUCUUUCUUAUUUUGUUUACCUUUUAAAAAUAAAACAAAAAUAAGUGGCGACUCCAAGUCAUUUUCUUAAUAAAUAAAAAUCAUCAUUUUUCAAAUAAAAAUCAUCAUUUUUCAAAUAAAAAUCGAGCUCUCCAUCGAGUGGGAAACGCAUUGAGCAGCUGAAAUGCAGGGUCCACACCUUCUUAUCAAUUUUGAGACUUAAGUAACAUGUUUUUUGGUUGAAUAAAAAAAGUCAAAAUAUUUGACUUUUUCUAUUUAGCCAAAAAACAAACACCACCUUAAUCUGAGUGUUGGGCUUAAUUCUGUAACAUAUAUGGAUCAUUUGUUAAUUUUUGGGCUCUGUAGGCCCAAAACACAAUUCUCCCUUAAGUGAAUGGUAGAGGAAAAGUGUCUUUUCUCUCUGCCACCCAAUGGAUUGAUGUGAAUUGUGGAAGAAAGUUUCUCCUUGUUUUGUAUUCAUCGAAAUGCACGUGACCAUGUGACAAUGUCAGAGUAUACAGUCUGAAUUGUUGAAGUCUUUUCUCCUUAUUUUGUAUUCAUCGAAAUGACCAUGUGACAAUGUCAGAAUAUACAGUGUUUCUUCUUUGUUUUAAUCUGCCGUUCAAUCGAUUCCCGUGAAUUAUGGAAAUACAUGAUCAUGUUUUAGUCUGCACGUACUCAAUCAAUUCCAAAAAUAUUCCAAUUGUAUUACUUAUAAAUAACAUUAUUGCAAAACUAUAUAUCAUGUAUAUGUAUUUUAUCAUGAACAUCAUAUUUUCUACAUUGAAGAUUAUCCUCACCACACAAAAACUAAUUUAUUUAUUUUUGGGUACUUUAUGUUGUUUUUUAAGAUGAAUAAUAAAUAUUUCAACUUUAAAGUUUAUUUAAUCAAAUUAAUUUUAAAAUGGCAAAGAAACAAUUUUUAUUUAAAAAAUAAUUCAAUACACUCAAAAUUAAUAAUGAAUUUAUUAAUGCUUCGUCCCUUCUUUAUUAUAAAAAAAAAAUAAAAAAUCAGGUGAAAUAUAUAACAACUUCAUUUCUUUAAAACCUCUUUAAAAUUUCUCAUCUACGAGAAGUUAGAUACAAUAUAACUUUAUUUUUCAUUAUCUUAUACAUUAUUUUUUAAAGAGCAGAUUUCUUUAUCAAAAUUGUGAGGAAAGUGAUUUUUUUUUUCCUUUUAAAUCAUUUAUCUUAGAUAUAAGAAUUCAAUGCAGACAACAUUUUAUGACAAUCUACAACUUAAAAAAUAAUUAGAAAAAAUUGAAUUAAUUGAUUUUUAAGAUAAAAUUUAAAAUUAAUUGAACUAUAAUUUUUUUUUAAAAAUUAUUGAAAUUUAUUAUAAAAAAUAAUAUAUAUUGUUAUAGUAAAAUUUAACUUUUUAUUGUUUAAUUAUGUAAAUAUAUAAUUUAAUACCAUAUAAAUGUUUUAUAGCAAAGAAUUGAUGUGACCUAUACUAAAUAAGGUUGCAAUAUAUUAAUAAACUCAAAAUUAACACAAAGGUUUUUUCCUUUUUCUUUUUUUUUUUUUUUUUCAUUUUUAAGUUUAUUUUAAUGGACUCCGAAGGAACAAAAAGUAAUGUUUUGUUGUUCAAAUAAAAAUUUAAAACUUGAAUGAAAUAAAAUCUAUAAUGAUUUAUUUUUAAAAAAAAAUUAAAACUUUUCCCCGACAAGUUAAAUACAAUAAAAUAUAUUUUUAAAAAUUAAUAUAAUUUCUUUUUAAAGUUGUGAUAUUUGCGAUCUGUAGGUCCUUGUAACAAAAUUAGAAUUUUAUUUAUUCUGAAAAUAUAUUAACAAGUAAUAUAAAAGUGAAAUGGAUUGAGUUUUUACAGCUUUUGAUUGUGUUUAAGUAAAAUAAUUGUUGCAUAACUUUUAUUAUAAUUUGCAAAUAGUUUCGGAUUAUAAGAAUAAUUUUUACAUACCUUUGGACUGCAUAAGAAUUUGCGCAUUGCAUCUACCAAUGAUAGUAUUAAAUGAGAAUUGAAUGUAAUUUUUGGCCAUAACCAAACAAGAUAUUGAAUUCAUUUAUUAUUAAUGCAUUUAUAACAUAAAUGAUUUAUUUACGCUAAAAUUCCCUAAUAUGUUCCAUAGAUUCUUUUUAAACCUUCUAAUUUCAUAUUCCUCUCAUUCUUUCUUUCUUUCUUUCUUUUUCCAUGUUUCUUGAUUCUUUAAUAUAUAGGGAGAAUUAUGUUUUGGGGGUAGAUGGGCCCCCAAAUUAACAAAAGGUCCAUGUAACUCUUCAAAUUGAGCUCAAGACCCAAUGAAAGUAUGGAAAUUGAGUUGAAGGAUAUCAUUCUUCAGUAUUUCCAAAAAUGCCCUUUGUUGAUUUUGAGAAAAAAAAUUAAUAUUUUUGAAAAAUACUUUUAUUUAAUUUAAUAUUUUUUAUUUAAUUUAAUAUUUAAAAAAAAUACUUUUAUGUAAUUUAAUAUUUUUUAAAAUACUUUUAUUUAAUUUAAUAUUUUUUUAAAAUAAAUUUAUUUAAUUUAAUAUUUUAAAAAAAUAUUUUUAAAAAAUAUUUAAUUUAAUAUUUUUUUAAAUACUUUAAUUUAAUUUAAUAUUUUUGAAAAAAAAAUUGAAAAAAAAAAUAUUUAAUUUAAUAUUUUUGAAAACUACUUUUAUUUAAUUUAGUAUUUUUGAAAAAAAAUUAUUGAAAAAAAAUUAUUUAACUUAAUUUUAUAAAAUAUUUUAUAUGUGUUCUUAAAGGGUAUAUUUGUCCGUUACUAUUUCAUAUCCUUCAACUCAAUUUGAAGAGUUACAUGUACCAUUUGUUAAUUUGGGGGCCCAUCUACCCCCAAAAGAUAAUUCUCCCUAAUAUAUAACAUAUCUUCUUCUUCUUUUUUAAUAACUUUUCAUAAAAAUUUAAAUAAUUACUUAUUAAAAAUUCCUAAUAUAUCCCUUAAAUAUUUCUCAUUCUCUUGUAUUACCUCUUGUGGGAGGGUUUUUCCAGUCUAAAAAUUCGAUGUUCCUUGUGUUGAUUUAUUUUUGCCUGCUCAUAUUAGGAUGUUGUCUACUUAUUUCGAUAGUUGGGGGUAUGAAUAAUGCACAAAUUAACAAUUUGUUAAAUAAAAUAAUGUAUGCAUGAAACAAGAAAUAGGAUAAUUGGAAACAUGGAAAAUCAAAGAAUAUUAAAAAAACAGAGAUCCCUAGAAGAAGAGUUCAAAUAAUGUUGUGGCCAUUGUAGAAGACCUUUCCCUUGAGUUUAUCCCUAUGGAUGGGUAUUACAAUUACUUUUUAAUGACGUCAUUUGUAGAUAAGAUGAAGGCCACACUUUAUCGACAACGCAUCAGUCACACCAGACAGUUCAAAGGAAGCCCGAAUGCUAUUCCAUGCCUCUGGGUGGCAAAUAUCGACUCCAGAGCGUGGUUGAUAUGCCAACCACAUGUGGCGAUCAUUUGAUGAAUGCUCACCACUCCACUUGUCCCAGUAGGGAUAGAAAAAUGAAAAAUUGUUCAACUGGCAUAAUAUGUCGUUGUGGAUCUGAGGCAGUUGAUCCUUGAAAGCAAAGACAAAGCAUACAGAAAAUCCUAGGAACUUGUCACGGUCGUACCAAUCUGAAGGCAGCUCCAUUGUUAGUGAAGAACCCAUUUCCCGAUGUUCAAACCAUUCAGGAAUUCCAUCUCCAGGAAUGAGAAUGCAGAACUCACUCUUUGGAGCGUGGUCCUGCCAUGGAAAAUCAUUAGAGAGGGAGAGAGAGAGAGAGAGAGAGAGAGAGAGAGACCUGAAUCCUCUCUAAUAUAGUAUUGUGCAGCGACAUCAUCCGUGCGGUACCUUCCACAACAUAUCUUGAUGAAGCCAAGGAAGUUUGCAGGGAUGCGCAUUCGUGUGCAUCCAGUUCUUCUAGACUUGAUGGAAAUUCCGGAAUUUCUUCGAGCCUCUUGCAACGCCCCAACACAAGAACUUUUAGCAUUGAAAGUUCUGUGAUUCUCCGUGGCACCAUAGUAAAAUGGUUUCCACUCAGAUUUAAGUUUUCCAAUGAAUAUAAGCCCCAAAAAUCAUCGGGUAUUUCUGCAUCCCACCAAUAACAAUCACUUAGAUCUAAUUCCCUUAAGAGGAAUAAACCUGAUAAAGAAAACAAUGAUGGGUGAGCUCUUCCUCCUGUACAUCCACUAAAGGAUAGUAUUUGAAGUUCUCUUAAACGACCAAUUACAGGAGGGGGCGCUCCUGUAGCUGUUCUAUUUGCAUAAAGCUCAGUUAGAUGUUGCAUGUUUCCCAAGUCUUCGGGCAAACAGUUGAGUUCUGAACAGCCACUAAGAUAAAGAGUUUUAAGAGAUUUCAAGUUGCAGAUGCUGUCUGGAAGACUACCCAGUGACUUGCACUCUUUCAAAUCUAACAAACUAAGCCUUCUCAGAUCUCCAAUAGAUGGGUCAAUCUCGCGCAAGCUUGUACAACCUUCAAGAAUUAGUUUCUCCAACUCUGGGGUGCUGGAAAAGUUUGAGACUUUUAUGAGGUAUUUAGAGUGACUGAGAAUGACGGCUGUUAGUUUCUCAAACCGAACCUGUUAAAAAAUAUGUUGCUCGAAUAAAUAAGCUACGAAUAACACAAAGAAAAGGCGCAUAUAAAAGGAGACGUAUAAAGAAAGUAUACAUACCAUAUUCCCUUCCCCAAAUUCUCUUAUGUUGCUAUACGGCAUGUUGAGUUCCACUAGUUUCUGAGUCUCAAAUUUUGAUGGCAAAGAAUUCAAAGGGUAUCCAUGCCAAUGGACAUAGGAUAAAUCCCAUGUAGGAAAUUUAAAAUCCCUAGAAAUGCGCACUUUGUAAUCCUCUUCACCAGUAACAACUUCAGAACCCAAGAAAAUUUUGAGCAAUCGAAGUCCAGACAUCUCUUUCAUUGCUUGAGUAGUUAAAUUUAUGUUGUUUAGAUUCGAUAAAUUUAGGAAUAUGCCUUCAAUUGAAUUGGUUCCCUGUCAAAAGAGCAGAUGAUAAGCAAUAAGCAUAACGUGCAUAUAAUUUUUCCUAGUUGCAUAGAUCAUCGAGGAGCAUUCAUACCGUCCUUUUCUUCAAUACAUCUUUCACAUCCACAUGAUCCCACAAUCGGCUGCGCAUACCUUUGUUCCUGGGACCUUCAUCACGAACGAUUUUAUGACCCAAUCGUUGUAUCAAAUUAUGCAUGCCAACCUUUCCAUUUGAAAUUGUUAGAAGACACCUAUUUAUGAGAAAUCCUAUUCCAGUCUCCGCAGGACAAUCCCAAUCAUCUAGUAUUUUUAUAAUAAAAUCUUUAUACUCUCCCUUAAAUUAGAAACAUGCAAUGUCAAGGAAUAUUGCCUUAUAAGUUGAUGGUAGUCCAUCAAAACUUACUUUAAGCACAUCUAAAAUUUUCAUGUUAGGUUCUUUAUCAAGGUCACGUAACUGAAUUUUCCAUUCAUGGCUUUGCUUUUGGAAUAGACAAGAACCCAAUAUUUUGAGAGCUAAGGGAAGACCUUGACAAUACUCUACGAAUUUUUUGGAAAGAAUAUAAAAAUCAUGAUGUGGAUAACUCGUUUCAAAAGCAUGCCAACUGAAGAGUUCAAGAGCUUCGUCGUUGUUUAAUUCUGGAAGCUGAUAUAGUACAUCCACUUUGUGCUGGACCAGCAAUUCUUUAUUUCUAGAUGUUAUAAAAAUUCUACUUCCUUCACCAAACCAAUCAUGUCCACCAGCUAAGUUUUGUAAUUGCGUCUCAUCAUUCGCACCAUCAAUGACAAGAAGAACCUUUUCACGGCAAAGCAUGUUCUUUAACACAUUAAUUCCUUCAGCAAGAAUCCUUAUUUUUUUUUUGCUUCUGGGUGAGAUAUCACAAAAAAGUUGUUUUUGCAAAUCCAGUAGACGAUGACAGUCUUUGGAAACGUCUCCAGCUACUUCUAGAAAGCUUUUGCUCUUAAAUUGAUAAGAGAGUUCAUUAUAAAUAGCUCUAACCAUUGUGGACUUGCCUACUCCACCAAGUCCACAUAUCCCCACCAUGAGAACAAAUUUUGACUUAUCGCCACUCUUCAACUUCAUUAUUUCAUUCAGACGUAUAUCCAGUCCAACCAGGUGUGUGCCGACAUGUAAAGGUUUUUGAUCUAUGCAAUCUGAAAUUUGACUUGCAAUCUCUUCAAUAAUGUUGCCUUCAUGUCUAUGCACAAUUAUAAGAUACAAAAGAAGAUGUGAAGAUUUAGAGAGUGAACUACAGAGAUGUAAAUAUUUGCAAAGUAAAUUUGAUGGUAUUCACUUUUGUUCAAAGCAAUUAAAUUAUGAACAAAAUAAUAUAAAUUAAAGGAAUUGAAUCAAAUUUAAUUAAAAUCCAUAUCUAGCUUCAUUUUGUACCUAUGCGAAAGAGAAAAAAAAAUAAGGAAAAAAUAACUGGAAUAAAAUGGAAAAUGUGAUUUUGUAUUCAGUUAUUGCCUUAAUCAAGGUGUCACAAUGUUAUGUCCCUUCUAUGGUAAAGGAUGCUAUUAUUAGAAUCCUAGAAAAAAUUACCACCAGAAUGUUGUCUAAUCUUUCCAGUGUAGUAUAUGCAGACUGUAAAUUGAAGCAUAAACUAUCCUCCACUCCAUUCAUCUUUUCCAUUUCAAACAAGUUGUUCAUGAGAACACUUCUCUGACAUUCUAGUGAAUUAAGGCAGCCAAGAGUGUUUGUAAAAGCACUCCUUGCAACUUGCCAAUGUAUUAAUUAUAAGGGACUUUUUUACCUUCUCAAUUCACUUGCCAAAACUUCAGCUUACCUUAGGGUCUUUGCGUUUCCUCAGUUCCUUAUUUGCCAACUAAUAUGGGAGAGAUUUUAGGAACUGCUUAAUCCUUGAGUCUUAAUCAUCUCUAUUUUGUGAUCAUUUGACAUACUCUACUCUACAAAAAAUAUAUGUCAAAUUCCACUUUAUGAAUUACUAUGAUCACAGAUUACAUUAUCACAAGUGCUUAGGAUCACCUAAAAAGGACAUGUUAUCUCAAUAUUGUAAGAUAUUAUGGUGUCAAUCAUGAGAGUACUUGUAGCCACUUUUUAGGACAUAUAAGGAAAAAAAAUAUGUUCCAUCAUAUCCUAGCCAAAAUUAAUAAAUAAAUAACUCUAAUGGUUUCGAAUGCCAAGAUUAUUCUCUCUAUUAGCCUUAGACUUUGUCAUAGUAUGCUAUUCAAUUGCAUAAAUCUCCUAAGAUUAUGGCAUAUGCCUUAGCCAAUCUUAGCUUGCUAUUCAAUUGUAUAAAUAUGCACAAUAUCAUGUUGUAAUGAAUUGAGGUGUUUUUGCUUUGUAAAGAUCGUUGCAUUUCCAUUCCUCAUGAAAUGAAUGUAUAUAUAUCUAUAUAUAUAAGUUUUAAACCCCUUAAUUGAUUGGAUUGAAAAUGAGCUUUUUUAGGUCCUAAAUCUCUCUCAUUUGCUUCAAAAAUUUUAUGCUUAAUGAAACAUAUAAUGAACCACUUCAACAUAACAAAGAACUUUUAAAUAUCAUAUCAAUGGGAAAUUCGAAUGAGAUGACCAUUUUAAUUACAAAUGCUCCUAAUUAAAUUAAAAGGAUUUAGAUUAAAAUGUGAAAGGAAUACAUAAAAUUGGGGUUGGCCUUGUUGUUUAGGCAAAAGAUCUUAUACCAGUUUCUUAUAAAGGCGAAAGUUUUAACAUCAAGGAGAUCACACACGAAGGUAUAUAAGGUUUUAAUGUGACGAAGGAGAUCAUUUUACUGUACUAAGGAAAAUAUUGCAAAUAACAUAAAUUAAAUAUAAAUAUUAGGUGUUGAAACAUUCCAUGUUUUGUCACUUUUUUUAUCUACACAUUGAAUUACAAGCCCUCACUUUAUUGGGUGUACUCUCUCAUUCUUCCUCACAUCUCUAUCUACCAUAUAUAAUCUUCACAACAUCAUUUUUGUAUCAUAAUUUUUUCCCCGAUAUUCCUAAAAACUUUCAUUCUUCAAUAAAAAGAAAAUUAAAUAAUAAAUUUUAAGUUAACAACUUAAAAAUAAUUUAAUUUAAACUUCAAUUAUUAAGUUUUAUGGAGCGUGGUCUAAGUGUAUAAGUAGAUAAUAUAAUUUAGGAAGAAAGGUGGGAGAUGAGAUUAAUUGCUUCCACGGGACAAAAUUGCAUAUACCAAAAUAUUGGUUGUAAAACUUGUUAUAGUUUACUAGAAAAUAGAUCAAGAGACAGAGAGGAGAAAAUUUGCAAACAAGAGAUGAAGGAAAGUUAUACUUACGUUUUUGGGUCCACAUGAUAUCCACUCAUAUUGGCUGCUGCAGUCAAAGCAUUUCCCCAUUUCUCUAUCAUCUCAACUUUCUCCUUGUCUGCGUCUCUCUCAGGAUAAGUAUACCUUGUGCAAUAACUUCCCGUCUGAUGUCGUACAUGUGAAGGAUCCACGUGAUAGAAAAUCGGCAAAACAAUUCUGCCAUCAUCGCUUGCAAUUGACUCAAUAAUAGCCAGUAAUUCAUUUAAACACCAUCGGGAAUCAGCAUAGUUCUUAGAGAAAACUACUAUACAAAUACGUGAUUCUUCAAUAGCAUCUAAGAGUUGAGAUGAAAUCUCCCCACCACGUUCAAGUUGCUCAUCAUCUCUAAAUGUAUUAAAUCGAUUUCCAACUAAACCUUCAUAAAGAUGAUCGACAAAAUUCAUACGGGUAUCACUCCCUCUAAAACUCAAAAAUACAUCAUACUUGUGUGGGAGCUUGGAAGAAGAGGACGAGGUUUCGGUACUGGUUGAAGCCAUUCAAGACAGGUGGUGUGCUAAAAUUGCAAAGAACUGAGAUUUCUCUGCUACGAUGCUGAGGCUUCAGAUAAAUAUAACAUUUUAAGCAGUUUCUUAUCAUCUUAACCUGGUGGGUGGGAGCAGGUUUCCAGGAAGGAGCAUCGGCCCUCAAAAGUCAAACAAAUUCUAUGGGGUUAUUCUCUGCUACAUAGUUUUGAGUUAUAAAAUACCGUAUUUGAAUUUAUUUUUUAAAGCCCUUGACUUUAAAUUAAAAACUUUUCUUUCCAUAAUAUUUUUGUCAUGCUAAAAUUUCAUGAAAGUAACAAGGAUAUGUAGAGUGUAAAUACAUUUUUUAUUUUUUUAUUUUUAAAAAUAAAAAAUUAUAAUAAGUUUUAUAUAAAACAUUACAGCUCUCCAAUAAAAAAGCAUUUACUUAUUUUAUAUUCUUAAAAAUUAUUUUUUUAGAAAUUUUAUAAUUUAUAAUAAUUAAACAUUUUUAAUACCUCACUUUUGUUUUUUUUAAAUGUAAG
This 38520-nucleotide long non-coding RNA is filed under the name Vitis vinifera (wine grape). RNAcentral's name for it is "long non-coding RNA (VVIN_LNC007078)". Lineage: Eukaryota; Viridiplantae; Streptophyta; Magnoliopsida; Vitales; Vitaceae. The record is from RNAcentral.